GGUCAAUGAUGAGCAGUAAAAGGUCUGAUGCCCCGCCGCGCCCUCCCGGCGCCGGCACGCUUCCGAGUCGCGACGUGUCCGCGUGCUCGCCGCGACGCUCACAGCGACAGGAAGCGUCAUCACGACAGGAGUCCGUGUGCAGAUCAUCUCGGCUCCUUGUGAUCAUUUCCGACAACAAAAAAGCGACAGAGUUGAGCGUCGGUCCCGGGAGGGGCGGGGCUACUGAUCUCAAGUUUUCAACCUGAGACC
RNAcentral lists this non-coding RNA (249 nucleotides) under Hippocampus comes (tiger tail seahorse). The record is from RNAcentral. Lineage: Eukaryota; Metazoa; Chordata; Actinopteri; Syngnathiformes; Syngnathidae.